AUUUUCUUCUAUUUUUAUUAUU
RNAcentral lists this small RNA (22 nucleotides) under Arabidopsis thaliana (thale cress). Its description in RNAcentral is "ATSL179730". The record is from RNAcentral. Lineage: Eukaryota; Viridiplantae; Streptophyta; Magnoliopsida; Brassicales; Brassicaceae.